Molecule: ribosomal RNA, 492 nt
Filed under: uncultured bacterium
Lineage: Bacteria
Description: partial 16S ribosomal RNA
Rfam family: Bacterial small subunit ribosomal RNA
Source: RNAcentral
AGUGAACGCUGGCGGUAGGCCUAACACAUGCAAGUCGAACGGCAGCACAGUAAGAGCUUGCUCUUACGGGUGGCGAGUGGCGGACGAGCGAGGAAUACAUCGGAAUCUACUUUUUCGUGGGGGAUAACGUAGGGAAACUUACGCUAAUACCGCAUACGACCUACGGGUGAAAGCAGGGGAUCUUCGGACCUUGCGCGAUUGAAUGAGCCGAUGUCGGAUUAGCUAGUUGGCGGGGUAAAGGCCCACCAAGGCGACGAUCCGUAGCUGGUCUGAGAGGAUGAUCAGCCACACUGGAACUGAGACACGGUCCAGACUCCUACGGGAGGCAGCAGUGGGGAAUAUUGGACAAUGGGCGCAAGCCUGAUCCAGCCAUACCGCGUGGGUGAAGAAGGCCUUCGGGUUGUAAAGCCCUUUUGUUGGGAAAGAAAAGCAGCAGGUUAAUACCCCGCUGUUCUGACGGUACCCAAAGAAUAAGCACCGGCUAACUUCGUG